RNAcentral lists this ribosomal RNA (314 nucleotides) under uncultured bacterium. RNAcentral's name for it is "bacterial SSU rRNA". It matches the Rfam family "Bacterial small subunit ribosomal RNA", at positions 28 to 334 of the family's 1533-position model. The record is from RNAcentral.
GAUGGACGCUGACAGAAUGCUUAACACAUGCAAGUCGAGGGGCAGCAUGGGCUUAGCUUGCUAAGCCCGAUGGCGACCGGCGCACGGGUGAGUAACACGUAUCCAACCUUCCGGUAACUCCGGUAUAGCCUUUCGAAAGAAGGAUUAAUCCCGGAUAGUAUGGUGAUUCCGCAUGGUUUCUCCAUUAAAGGAUUCCGGUUACCGAUGGGGAUGCGUUCCAUUAGGCAGUUGGCGGGGUAACGGCCCACCAAACCCACGAUGGAUAGGGGUUCUGAGAGGAAGGUCCCCCACAUUGGAACUGAGACACGGUCCAA